GACGAACGCUGGCGGCGUGCUUAACACAUGCAAGUCGAACGGAAAGGCCCUGCUUUUGUGGGGUGCUCGAGUGGCGAACGGGUGAGUAACACGUGAGUAACCUGCCCUUGACUUUGGGAUAACUUCAGGAAACUUGGUCUAAUACCGGAUAGGAGCUCCUGCUGCAUGGUGGGGGUUGGAAAGUUUCGGCGGUUUGGUUUGGACUCGCGGCUUAUCAGCUUGUUGGUGGGGUAGUGGCUUACCAAGGCUUUGACGGGUAGCCGGCCUGUGAGGGUGACCGGCCACAGUGGGACUGAGAUAGGGCCCAGACGGCUACGGGAGGCAGGAGUGGGGAAUAGUGCAAAAUGGGCGGAAGCCUGAUGGAGGAACGCCGCGUGCGGGAUGACGGCCGGCGGGUUGUAAACCGCUUUCGCCUGUGACGAAGCGUGAGGGAGGGAAAUGGGUAAAGAAGAACCGGCAAACUACGU
Molecule: ribosomal RNA, 467 nt
Filed under: uncultured bacterium
Lineage: Bacteria
Description: partial 16S ribosomal RNA
Rfam family: Bacterial small subunit ribosomal RNA
Source: RNAcentral